This is a long non-coding RNA of Rhincodon typus (whale shark), 1184 nucleotides long. RefSeq lists it as uncharacterized. The record is from RefSeq and is a predicted model, not a curated record. The transcript is spliced from 3 exons. Lineage: Eukaryota; Metazoa; Chordata; Chondrichthyes; Orectolobiformes; Rhincodontidae.
GAGUCUUUGAAAUCCUUUUUAAAGAACUAGGUGGGGACGCAAGUUGUGAGGAGAUGUUUCAAGAGGACUUGGACCUGCAUGGACAUAUAGAAUAUAAAACUGAUCAUCUCCUCCACGAGUCCCAGUAACCAUUCAACAUCUGCCUUAGCAUGAGUUCUUUCUGAGACUUGCUGGAACCAAUUCCCAGGUACUGACCUUAGUAACAACCAACUUCCAAUAUCUGUUUAAACAUACUACUCUAUCCUGGUGAUGAAAUGUCUACAGAACCUUUUAACUAGGUAUCAACUUGCAAUUAAAUGCCACAUCUGGCCUCACAAAUAAACAAAACCCUGUUUGGUCUUUUGUCCUGUUAACACAAAACGUUACCUACUGUCCAAAAGUCACCUUUAGCUCUCAGUUCCCAGAUCACAGCUCAAAUCAAAAUGUAUAAAAGAAUAAAAUACGAAUAACAAAAUAUCAAUGAGGGUUCUAACACACACUGCAUUACAUACAAGGACAAGUGGUAUCAACAGAAGGAAGAAUCUUAAUUAUGUCAAGAACCCUGUGCAUUGGUUAAAAUCCAAACUACGCUGUUAUUGUACAAGAAACUAUCAGGCUCUAUUAUUGAAGCCUGUUUUCUUGUAUACCUCCAAGUUUCAAAGAGAUGCCUGUAGAUAUUUUUAAUCAAUCUGUUCAGACAUGCUAUUACACACCUCUGCAGCAAGUGGGAUUUGAACCCAGACCUCCUGGCAAAGAAAUGUCCGUAUACCUGUGAAAUGAACAAGGUCAUAUGUGUAAUUAAUUAAAUUGGUUUUUGUUCAUUUGUGGGAUUCUCUAAUGGAAGUUAAAGAUACUUGAGCUUAAAUUAUGUGCACCAGAACAGCUGCUUGGCUAAUUUAAACACCAUAAACCAACUGAUAAUGGGUGUUAACAUAUGUCAGUUUAGUUAUAUUAAGAAAGUUGCACCUGAAAAGUAAGAAGGCAAUAAAGAUCAAGUUUGAAUCGUGAAAGAUUUGACUUGGAGGAUCAACAUAUGAUAAUGACACAGAUUUGUGGUGAUAGUGAUGGUGAAACUCAAUGUUGGGCAUCAUUAUCUCCUGAAACCAAAUGUGACUUAUAGAAAUCUAGGCACAGAAUUAUCCAGAAAUCCAAAAGUUGCUGUCAGUGAUUUUUCACUACUUCUGCGAAUGUACUGUUAAGGCACC